RNAcentral lists this ribosomal RNA (467 nucleotides) under uncultured bacterium. RNAcentral's name for it is "partial 16S ribosomal RNA". It matches the Rfam family "Bacterial small subunit ribosomal RNA", at positions 28 to 506 of the family's 1533-position model. The record is from RNAcentral.
GACGAACGCUGGCGGCGUGCUUAACACAUGCAAGUCGAACGGAAAGGCCCUGCUUUUGUGGGGUGCUCGAGUGGCGAACGGGUGAGUAACACGUGAGUAACCUGCCCUUGACUUUGGGAUAACUUCAGGAAACUGGGGCUAAUACCGGAUAGGAGCUCCUGCUGCAUGGUGGGGGUUGGAAAGUUUCGGCGGUUGGGGAUGGACUCGCGGCUUAUCAGCUUGUUGGUGGGGUAGUGGCUUACCAAGGCUUUGACGGGUAGCCGGCCUGAGAGGGUGACCGGCCACACUGGGACUGAGAUACGGCCCAGACUCCUACGGGAGGCAGCAGUGGGGAAUAUUGCACAAUGGGCGGAAGCCUGAUGCAGCAACGCCGCGUGCGGGAUGACGGCCUUCGGGUUGUAAACCGCUUUCGCCUGUGACGAAGCGUGAGUGACGGUAAUGGGUAAAGAAGCACCGGCUAACUACGU